GGGUAACUUGAGUUAUUUCAUACAGACCUUUCUGAUCUUCAGGUCACAGCUACUUUACUCUUCUCAGUAUGUAUGUGCAUAAAACUAAUUCCAUGUAUAACUAUCGUGGUUCUUCCACCAACCUUUCAGUUCAGUUAUGCCUUUAGUAAGACAAUCCACAAACUGAUAUAAUAAAUAUCUCCGUGGGCAACAAGUAACUAACUGUGGAUAAGCACCUAAGAGCAUGUACUGAGUUUGGUUGAGAUGGAGUUGAUUUUCUUCAUAGCAUCCCGUGUGGUCCUGUGGUUUAAGAUUUGUGACCAAAACCAGUGCUGAUAACACAUCAAUGCCUUAGCUACUGCUGAACAAUGCUUGUACAGUGCCAAGGCUUCAUCCAUUUCUCACGUUGUGCCCCCAGCAAGUAGGCUGGGAGGGAACAGCUGACUCAAACUGACCAAAGAGAUAUUCCAUACCACGUAACGUCAUGACUAGCCAUAAAAACUGUGUGCAUGCGUGCUGGGAUGUGUCUUUCCAAAGUCGUCGCUGCUCAAGGACUGGCUGGGCAUUGGUCUGCUGGUGGGAGUUGGCACACACAUGAAUAAUUACAAAGGAAUAAUCAGUUAACUCAAAUGUGGGAAGUAUUACAGAAAGAAGACUUGAAGGACUGUUUGGCUGAAUAUACCAUCAAAUCUGGAUGCCCUGAGAAAAUGUGUAGUAUUUUUUGAAUGUGGAACUGUAAAACUGUCCUUUGGAAUGCUUAAAUUAGAUAAAUACAGUUUUUAACCAUGUUGGAGGUGCUACUCCUGAGCCUGAGCAGCCUUGGUCAGUUUGGCAAAUCAAUUAUCCAGAUGUCACUUGUUUAUAGGCACAGACACUGUUCCCAAGGCUGUUUGCUGAACUACCUUCAACAAUGGCUGUCUCUUUGAUGCAGUGCUAUGUUGCCACUCCAUCACAUCUUAGACCUUAGCUCUGGGGAAUCUUUUCACUUGCAGGAUGCUCAUCUACAGGUAAUCACUUCAUCUUGAGAGGAUGAGCUGGGAACAGGAUCUCCAACACCUGUGAAUUCAGUCACUGUCUUAUAAAUAUCUUCUCGGCCCAGGGACUGCUCCUGGGUGGAUGCAGGGCUGGAAGGUGCCUCAUCAGGCCAUCCAAAACACUCUGCACCUCUAGACUGUCUCAAAAAUAAUCUUUUCUUUCCAGGACUCACACACAUUGUCAAAGGCAGAGAAUAUUUACACCCAUUACAUCCUUCUAGAUUCCUGCAAAUGGCAAGGAGUCACAGAGAAAGGCAACACCCUUCCUCCAGAGCGAUAGCCUUGGUGUCAAAGGCAGCAGGGACAUCACAGGAACUGAAUGCCAUCAGCAACGCAGUUUCAAGUCCUGGAGCAUUAGUCAGUGUCACUUGCUGCUCAGAUGCCCUGCCAUGUCCUGGGUUCUCUGUCAAACAUAAGCUGGAACCCUGGCUUGUGCCAGCACUAGUACUGAAUGCCACAGUGGUAACAAGGAUCAGGCAACAAAAUGCCAUAGGGAGGAUCAGUGUCUGAACUGCUUUUUUAUUGUCAUUUGCCUGGGAUCCAGCCCUGGGAGAGAAGUAGAAGGCACCAGCAGUACCACAGCACCCGUUCCUCACCCAGGCACUUUGGAAGCAGGUCACCAACAUUAAGAAGUUCCAUGAGCACCACUGGAAAAUAUUCACGCUUCCAGUCUUGGGAGAUGCCUGCUACUCCUCCACAUGCCCCAAUGACUGCUUUGUUUGUUCACAUGGCCUUCGGUUCCAUGAAAUCUGUGACGAGGGACGUAAACCAAUGGAACGAGGCUUAUAAAAAAUAUUGAAAACUGAAGUUAAAAGCUCCCCAAGAACAAGAAGGUAGCACUAAGGCCGAGAAGUGACUGAAACACAUGGAGACAUUUAGGCCUCUAUUCCUUUGAUAUGAUGCAAAAGUGACAGCAGCAUAUCUACAGAUACCUACAGAUACCACUAGAUUAGAAAGUUCUUAUGUAUGAGCACAGUAAUCACACACACAUUCACACCUGAACACAGAUGAGGACUAUUGCUCAAAAUCAAACCAGUCAAUUUAGAAUACACAUGCAGAGAAAUAAAAGGUUCUGCCCAACCCUUUUUCUGAGGAGCUGAUUAUGAUGACUGUUUCUUUUAGACCAGUUUCUAUAAUCUCCUGUAAAAACCUGAUCCUAAAGUUCAAAAACCAAGAUAAUCAAAAGACUCUCUAAAGUUUCAGUGUUCACAGGCUAAAAUUACAAGGAAAGGAGCAAGGGCAACGCAGGGAAGAUAUAAGAAAUGCUAAAUCAAGUCUGUCCACAUUUCAGCAGCCACUUAGAUGAUAUUAAAUUUCAUAACAUUCAAUAUCCUUUCUUUCACAACUGUUUGCCCUGACACUCUUUACAUUAUAAAAUAAAGUUUAAGAAGUAAUUCAGUGUGGGAAUUUUUUAGUUUUAUGAGGGGCAUCCAGACCAUCAUAUAAAGUGAGAGGUUUUUUAAAGCAACAUGAUAUACUAACACUACCGACAAUACUACAAUUUACUGAGAGAGACAAAUAUGCCCACAGAGAGUUCAAAAGGAAAGCUGGAUGUUGUAGUGCCUCAGAAGUCUGGAAAACAUGACUGGAGAGGUAAAGUCAACCUCAUGUGUUCUUCCCACAAACUGAGGAAGAUGCUACUUGGAAGAGGUUUCAAAAUUCUUUUCAAAGGUAGAAAUGACUCAGCCACUAGAUGGAAUAUCUCAUCAUGAAGCGACAAAAUCUACCUUUGGAGAAUCACACCCUGAUUGCUUUUGAAAUGAAAAAAGCAAGCACAUGUAUUUCACGCACACCGUGGCCUGCUGCUGCGAACACGUGGCUGGUCACACCUGCUUCAUUAGAUGACAUGAACAUCUAAUUUGUCAUCAACAGCCAAAUUUAUUUAUAAUCAUCUUCAAGUGUAAUGGACAUCCUGCUAGUAGGAAAACACAUUCAAUAAAGCAAAAUGUAUAUGUUAGAAUGAAAACAAGUAUUAUGUGUUGUAUAUAAAAUUAAUUUUUAUAUUAUUCAUUUAUAUCUAAUAAAUCUACUCUACACACCUAUGCUGCAAUAUAGGCUGUAAAUCAGUGAGUCCUCUGAAAGCAGAUAAAAAUAUAUUUCAGAAUUAUGAGAGAAACAGAUCAGAUGGUGGACAGCCUGGGAAAUAUUAUGUCCAGAGGAAGAACUGAAGAAAUUGCACUUUGGUAGAGAAAUUCAUCCAUCUCAGUUACAGAGAGACACAACCAGGACAUAGAUGUUAAACUCUAUCAACUCUCACGUUCUGUGGAACAAAGUCAGAACUGAUACCUCCCGCUGUGGGAAGAAAUUAAUACACGCUAAUAGCUCGUUGUUUUGGCAGCUCUCCCACGGUAAUGACUGGAGGGUUGAACUUCAACUGGAAAAGCCUAUCCAAUCCAUCAUUAGAAGAGAAGGAAUUGCAUGGACCAUAAUAAAGAACAGUGGCAACACAGAAUUUCUGGACUUUGAUAAAUCUUAUGAACCACAAAGAAACAAAUUAUCAAAACAUGGAGUCUUCAGAGCAUAAAGGACUUGCUUUAAGGUGGAUUCAGGAAAAGCACUGCUUCUGCAGAAGACAGCACAGGGGAGUAUGGGGAAAACAUUUAACAGAAUUACACCAAGGAAAUAUGCCAAAGGUUGGCAAAUAACUCUGAUCUAACUUAGAGGAGAUUAGACUUGUCCAAACAGGUACAGAGAGGUUUCUUUUAAAACAAAACAAAACUGUAGAGUACAGUGAGUUAGUCACAACUGUAGUGCUAUUAAGGAAGGAUUAGUAAAAUCAUCAAAAAAAUGAAAACAAUACAAAGAAAACAACAGCUAAAUAAACCAAGGAUGACAAACUAGACAAAGUAAAUAGGUGGCCAACAGUGAGAAAUUAUUCAGAUACCUUUCCAACAGUAGUGAAAAACCUCUCAUGGACUAAUUGUAUUUCAUACUUUUAAAAGAAACUUGCCAGAAUAUUAAAAUAUAAAUACCUAUCAUAAAAAUUCAGUUUAAUCAGGCCACACUAUAUCAUCAGAAAUACUGUUGUGCUCAAUAUUUGAACUUGCUAGAGCUCAUUUAGACAAAGAAUUUGUGAAUUUAAAGUUGCCAAGUGUUUGCCAGAUACUCCCUGUUCAAUUCCUCCUCAGCCGUCACAGCGAGCACCCCUGUAAUGUGUAAACGUCACUCAAAUACCUCCGUGUAAACCCUGAACAAUUAUUAUUCUUCUGAUGCUGCCCCACUGGUUUAGCAGCUAGUGGGACAUUCUUGCAGUGCCUGAUGGCUCCUGCCAGGCUCACACACAGGCUCUGAGCACUGCACUCCAAAGUGGGAAGGAGAUAUAGCUCAUUUAAACAAGGUUCGUUUGGGAUGCAGAGCAUUCACAUAAAUACUCCCGAUCUGAAUUACUACAGCAUUUCACACACUAGUAAAUAUUCAUAAUUGCGGUAAAUUUUUGCUCCUGUUUUCAAAUUAGAAGUCUUAGUAUCACAUUGUAUUUAGUAUUUACAGAAAAAAAGAGAGACCUUUAGCAUAACAAAAAACACUGCUGCCAAAAAAUCACGUAAUGAAGUAUGUGCUGAUUUUCUAGGGGUAUUUUUAAUUUAUAAGACAUUCCUAGCACACUGGCACACAUGUAAAAGUUGUUUGGAAUAAGACUCUUACUUGUUUUGAACUUAAGUUUAUAAAAAUUAAACAUUUUCUAAACUAUGUUUUUAUCCAAACGUAGUAUGCUUGUGCUAAGAAAUACUUCUUGAAAGUCAAGAUGAGAAGUCAGGUUUCUUGACAGAAAAAGCUGCAUUUAGGCUUCAUAUUUUUUUUUAUUCAUUUUAUUACCUGUAUCAAGACGGCAGAGAGUACUGUUGUACAUCUACUUAUUUUUUUCCUUUCAGAGUGAAUUGUAGUGAAAACAUUAAAUCCCUCCCAUAGAAUUUAGCUUACUCAUAAAUUUAACUCAUAUAAAACACUAAAAAUCCUGCGUUAAAACUAUUAGUUCUACCUUACCUCAAAGGCUGUAUAUAGUAAAGAUUUCUAUUUGUCCCAAGCAAGGAAGAUAUAAUCUAGAUUUUAUUAAAGAGUUGGUUAGUUCAACUGCUGGUUGUUCCAAGCCACAGAUGUGUGGCCUAAGAUAGUGCAAACAAUAAAACAGACUCACAGGAAUAAUAGUACAACUCUGGCUGCCUUUGGAUUCUUGCUCUACUAACAGAGAGGACAGACACCUCCAUAAUUCAGUUUUGCUAGAACUUUGAAAUAUGAGCAUUUUCCUGAAAACAUCAGAAGAUUUCAUCCCAAAUACAGAAGAGCCUACCUGAAGCCCUGGCUAUGCUCAGUUUUUGACAAAUGUGACAGAGAAGGGAAUCACAGAAUGUUAGGGAUUGGAAGGGACCUCGAAAGAUCAUCUGGUCCAAUCCCCCUGCUGGAGCAGGAACACCUGCAUCAGGUUGCACAGGAACAUGUCCAGGUGGGUUUUCAAUGUCUCCAGAGGAGACUCCACAACCCCCCUGGGCAGCCUGUUCCAGUGUUCUGUCACCCUCACUGUGAAGAAGUUUCUUCUCAUAUUCAAGUGGACUCUCCUAUGUUCCAGUUUGCACCCAUUGCCCCUUGUCUUAUCAUUGGUUGUCACCGAGAAGAGCCUGGCUCCAUCCUCCUGACACUCACCCUUUACAUAUUUAUAAACAUUAAUGAGGUCACCCCCCAGUCUCCUCCAAGCCAGAGACCGAGCUCCCUCAGCCCUUCCUCACAUGGGAGAUGCUCCACUCCCUUGAUCAACAGGUAUCGAGCUGUUCACUGGGAACCAGGCACGUGAACAGACUUACCACCUGCAGGACUGUCACUGAUACUGUAUUUAAAAUACACCUCUGUGGAAUGUU
Long non-coding RNA from Columba livia (rock pigeon), 5860 nucleotides. RefSeq lists it as uncharacterized. Lineage: Eukaryota; Metazoa; Chordata; Aves; Columbiformes; Columbidae. The transcript is spliced from 2 exons. The record is from RefSeq and is a predicted model, not a curated record.